This 67-nucleotide transfer RNA is filed under the name Istiophorus platypterus (Indo-Pacific sailfish). Its description in RNAcentral is "tRNA-Cys". It matches the Rfam family "tRNA". From Rfam's summary of the family: Transfer RNA (tRNA) molecules are approximately 80 nucleotides in length. Their secondary structure includes four short double-helical elements and three loops (D, anti-codon, and T loops). The record is from RNAcentral. Lineage: Eukaryota; Metazoa; Chordata; Actinopteri; Istiophoriformes; Istiophoridae.
AGCCCUGAGGUGUUUUACAUAUUAGAUUGCAAAUCUAAAGAAGCAGGCUAAUCCCCUGCCGGGGCUU